Molecule: long non-coding RNA, 1864 nt
Filed under: Medicago truncatula (barrel medic)
Lineage: Eukaryota; Viridiplantae; Streptophyta; Magnoliopsida; Fabales; Fabaceae
Description: long non-coding RNA (MTRU_LNC001465)
Source: RNAcentral
AAAACUUAGUAAUAUUGAGGGAAUUGGAUCCUCCAGCAGAGUCCAUUAAUAUACAAAAGAUACUCAAAAUUUCAUUCAUAUUGUAAUCGGAUGCAAUGUGUCUGGGUGCUAUCUUGGGAUACAUAUGUUUUAAUUAUCAUAAAAGGCCUAAACGGGAUUUCUUAGACAUGUGAAUUUUGUGAUACUUCAAGCACAAUUAUUUUGUCAGACUCUGAUCGAGCCCAAAUUGAAUUAUGAACCAGUUUUAUGCAGAUUAAUGUGUUGAAUUGAAACAAUGAAGUUCUAUCAAGCUUCAGUUUAAUUUUGUGAUCUCUACUGGAUAACAACUUAUUUUUAUUCAUUGUUUUUCUGUUGACUUGGGUGUUUCAGGAGCUAUAAAUCUACGAAUGUGCUGCUCCGGCAAAGUUUAUAGGGAUAUGGAUUGUCUACCUUUGUUUGAGAGAAUUCGGAAAAAUGUGAAGAAAUUUGGAAGGAAAAGAUGAUAGAUAUGAGGAAACGUAUGUGUUUUUCCCUCUCUAAGAAUUAACAACUAACAAGUGUUCUUUUUUCAAUGAUUAUAUAGCCACGGAAAUUAUAUGAAACAAAAGAGGCAUACAAAUGAUGUGUCGACAUGCUUUCUUUGCAUACUAGGGAGAUUCUAAUCAAUGAGAGGAAUUCCAUGUUCCCUGCAUUUCUCCUAGAGGUAAAUAUUUGCUUCCUCAUCUUUUAUUAAAGUGUUCUAUUAUGAAGUUUUCUUUGAUCUAGGAAAUUAAAAAGCGCUUCUCAACAGAAAAGCAAGGGAUAAUAAUAUAAAAGAUAUAGUUGUUACUCCUCAAAGCUUUAGAGAACAUUUUUCUACAGGACCCAACAUCCAUCAAUAAAUCAAGGAAAGAUUUAAGUUUACAGUAGAUAUUAUAUAGAACAAGAAACAACUUUAAGACCAGACUAUAAAAUAAUCUGACCAAUAUAUAUAUAAGAAUCCAUAUCACAAACUAAAUAGAAAAACUACAAUCUAAUUGAGUAGUUGUAACAGAAAGGUAUACCAAAAAGUACUGAUAUGACAUACUAAGGUCCAAGAUCUUCUAGCUAUUGUUCAAAACACAAGUUGAAACUGCAACUGGUUGAUAAAUCAGGCUCCUUUUGAAAAUCUUUAAAUUAACAUAAAAAAAGUUGAUUCUGGUUUAGGCACAUCCAAAAGAGUUGAUUCUUGUUUAGGCACACUCAAAAGGUCUUUAAGCCCACUAGUUAAGGUAAAUCUUGAUGUCAAGAAUGCUCCAAGGAAGCUCAAAGCCUACACCGCAAUUAAAGGGAAUCAAAGAGGCUAAAAUAACAAAAAAAGAAAAUAUUUAGAGAUAAAUAAUAGCGCAUUACCUCAGCUUCACCAAUGCUUAUCACAUUCGCUUCAAGAUCGUCAAGAGAAAGGCUUAAUUCUUUCAAACAUAAAAGGAAAGAAUUAGCAGAAUGUGGUUUUACUUUUAGAUCAUUUUCUACACAAUAUAAUGCUGCUCUCUUUACAAAUCCCAUAUCGACUUCUUUUGAUCCGUUGAGUGAUCUUGGGUCCAGUGCAAUCAAGGAUUUUGCAUGAUAAAUUGAUUCAUGUGACUUAGAAAUCACUCCUCCCUCUAUCAUUGCUUUUACCGUGUCAUAAUAAUUACGCCAAAGAACUCUAUGCGUAAACACUUGCUUUGGUGUACCUGUACCAUAAUAAUAUGUAAUAGGUGGUGGUUGUACUUCAGGAAUGUUGAGGGGCUGGUUUCGACAACCAAACUGGUGUGCUACACCAGGAUUGAGUAAGACAGUGCGUGAGUCAGUACACCAAGAAGAGUCCAAGUUCUCCACACUCUUGUACAAAUUACCAACACAUCCAGCAAAAUUAUUAGCCCCU